Molecule: ribosomal RNA, 1248 nt
Filed under: metagenome
Description: SSU rRNA
Rfam family: Eukaryotic small subunit ribosomal RNA
Source: RNAcentral
UAUCCAUUGGAGGGCAAGUCUGGUGCCAGCAGCUGCGGUAAUACCAGCUCCAAUAGCGUAUAUUAAAGUUGUUGCAGUUAAAAAGCUCGUAGUUGGACUUGUGUGCGCUGUCCGCGGGUGGCCUGCGCCCAAAAGGGCGUUUCGGUUCGGCCCCGGUGGCGCCUUGAAAUCUGCAGCUGGGGGGACGUUGGCCUUAACUGGUCGGCGACCGCACGCCGGCUGCUCGGUUACUGUGAGAAAAUUAGAGUGUUCAAGGCAGGCAUUGGGUGCAAUUGAAUACAUUAGCAUGGAAUAAUAAAAUAUGGCUCCUGCCGUAUUUUGUUGGUUUUGACUGGUGGGAGUAAUGAUUGAUAGGGACGGUUGGGGGUGCUAGUAUUGAGCGGCCAGAGGUGAAAUUCAUGGAUUCGCUCAAGACUAACUUAUGCGAAAGCAUUCACCAAGGACGUCCUCUUUAAUCAAGAACGAAAGUUGGGGGAUCGAAGACGAUCAGAUACCGUCGUAGUCUCAACCAUAAACUAUGUCGACUUGGGAUCGGCGGUAGUUUUUUCAUUAAGACACUGUCGGGACCACGGGAGAAAUCAAAGUGUCUGGACUCUGGGGGAAGUAUGGUCGCAAGGCUGAAACUUGAAGGAAUUGACGGAAGGGCACCACCAGGAGUGGAGCCUGCGGCUUAAUUUGACACAACACGGGGAAACUUACCAGGUCCAGAGAUGUAGAGGAUUGACAGAUUGAAGCUCUUUCUUGAUCACUUCGGUGGUGGUGCAUGGCCGCUCUUAGUUGGUGGAGUGAUUUGUCUGGUUAAUUCCGUUAACGAACGAGACCUCAGCCUGCUAGUGUAGUCGGCUGGAUUGCCUUUGGCGAUCCGUGAUUUCGACUUCUUAGAGGGACAAUCGACGCGCAGUCGAUGGAAGUUUGAGGCAAUAACAGGUCUGUGAUGCCCUUAGAUGUUCUGGGCCGCACGCGCGCUACACUGCUGGGCUCAGCGAGUUUUACUUGGCCGAGAGGCCCGGUUAAUCUUGUGAAAUCCCAGCGUGCUUGGGCUCGCCUCCUGCAACUGGAGGCGCCAACGAGGAAUUCCUAGUAGACGCAGGUCAUCAACCUGCAUCGAUUACGUCCCUGCCCUUUGUACACACCGCCCGUCGUUCCAUAAGAGUGAGGCAUCCGGUGAAUUCUCGGGAGAGCCUGGGCGUGGCCAGCAAUGGUCUGCUCGGGUUUGAACUUGCAUAAACUUGGUGCCUAUGAUUAGGG